This 783-nucleotide ribosomal RNA is filed under the name uncultured Neocallimastigales. RNAcentral describes it as "partial large subunit ribosomal RNA". It matches the Rfam family "Eukaryotic large subunit ribosomal RNA", at positions 23 to 645 of the family's 3401-position model. Lineage: Eukaryota; Fungi; Neocallimastigomycota; Neocallimastigomycetes; Neocallimastigales. The record is from RNAcentral.
AUAGAGACUCAGAGCUGCAUAUCAAUAAGCGGAGGAAAAGAAACUAACUAGGAUUCCCUUAGUAACGGCGAGUGAAGCGGGAAGAGCUCAAAUUUGAAAUCUUCAAGGUUCUACCUUGACGAAUUGUAGUUUAAAGAAGUGUUUUCUGUUAGUGGAGUUCGGUAAAAGUUCUUUGGAAUAGGACAUCAUAGAGGGUGAGAAUCCCGUAUUUGGUCAUUACUUCCUAGCUUUGUGAUACACUUUCAAAGAGUCGGAUUGUUUGGGAAUGCAGUCCAAAAUGGGUGGUAAAUUUCAUCUAAAGCUAAAUAUUGGCGAGAGACCGAUAGCGAACAAGUACCGUGAGGGAAAGAUGAAAAGAACUUUGAAAAGAGAGUUAAACAGUACGUGAAAUUGUCAAAAGGGAAGCGUUUGACACCAGUGUUGUUUUUCUCGAAAAUCAAUUAAGAAUGGCAUGAUUCUGUGUUGUAUUGACCUUAUCAGCUUUCUUCACUCUUUUUCGAUGUCUUUCUUAAUGCACUUUUCGGUUAACAAGUCAACAUCAAUUUCUUUUGUUGUAAAAGGAGUCAUUGGAAGGUGGCUUUCUUUUCGGAGAAAGUGUUUAUAGCCCUUAUGCCUCUACAAUCGGAGAGAUUGAGGUCUGCAGCGUAGAUCCUUCGGGGUUAGAUACAUUUGUGCUAAGUUAUAGCUUUUCAUAGACAACUUGUUGACUAUGUUUAGUCAUGUCGGCUUACUCGCUUAUGCUAUUUUACCUACGCUUAGGAUGUUGAAGUCAUCGUAUCGCGC